GACGAACGCUGGCGGCGUGCUUAACACAUGCAAGUCGAACGGAAAGGCCCUGCUUUUGUGGGGUGCUCGAGUGGCGAACGGGUGAGUAACACGUGAGUAACCUGCCCUUGACUUUGGGAUAACUUCAGGAAACUGGGGCUAAUACCGGAUAGGAGCUCCUGCUGCAUGGUGGGGGUUGGAAAGUUUCGGCGGUUGGGGAUGGACUCGCGGCUUAUCAGCUUGUUGGUGGGGUAGUGGCUUACCAAGGCUUUGACGGGUAGCCGGCCUGAGAGGGUGACCGGCCACAAUGGGACUGAGGGACGGCCCAGACUCCUACGGGAGGCAGCAGUGGGGAAUAUUGCACAAUGGGCGGGAGCCUGAUGCAGCAACGCCGCGUGCGGGAUGACGGCUUUCGGGUUGUAAACCGCUUUCGCCUGUGACGAAGCGUGAGUGACGGUAAUGGGUAAAGAAGCACCGGCUAACUACGUG
RNAcentral lists this ribosomal RNA (468 nucleotides) under uncultured bacterium. RNAcentral describes it as "partial 16S ribosomal RNA". It matches the Rfam family "Bacterial small subunit ribosomal RNA", at positions 28 to 507 of the family's 1533-position model. The record is from RNAcentral.